RNAcentral lists this ribosomal RNA (429 nucleotides) under bacterium. Its description in RNAcentral is "partial 16S ribosomal RNA". It matches the Rfam family "Bacterial small subunit ribosomal RNA", at positions 355 to 776 of the family's 1533-position model. The record is from RNAcentral.
UAGGGAAUCUUCCACAAUGGACGCAAGUCUGAUGGAGCAACGCCGCGUGAGUGAAGAAGGUUUUCGGAUCGUAAAGCUCUGUUGUUGGUGAAGAAGGAUAGAGGCAGUAACUGGUCUUUAUUUGACGGUAAUCAACCAGAAAGUCACGGCUAACUACGUGCCAGCAGCCGCGGUAAUACGUAGGUGGCAAGCGUUGUCCGGAUUUAUUGGGCGUAAAGCGAGCGCAGGCGGAAUGAUAAGUCUGAUGUGAAAGCCCACGGCUCAACCGUGGAACUGCAUCGGAAACUGUAAUUCUUGAGUGCAGAAGAGGAGAGUGGAAUUCCAUGUGUAGCGGUGGAAUGCGUAGAUAGAUGGAAGAACACCAGUGGCGAAGGCGGAUCUCUGGUCUGCAACUGACGCUGAGGCUCGAAAGCAUGGGUAGCGAACAGG